UACGUAGGGCGCAAGCGUUGUCCGGAAUUAUUGGGCGUAAAGAGCUCGUAGGUGGCUUGUCACGUCGGGUGUGAAAGCUUGGGGCUUAACUCCAGGUCUGCAUUCGAUACGGGCUGGCUAGAGGUAGGUAGGGGAGAACGGAAUUCCUGGUGUAGCGGUGAAAUGCGCAGAUAUCAGGAGGAACACCCGUGGCGAAGGCGGCUCUCUGGGACGGUACUGACGCUGAGACGCGAAAGCGUGGGGAGCGAACAGG
Molecule: ribosomal RNA, 253 nt
Filed under: uncultured bacterium
Lineage: Bacteria
Description: partial 16S ribosomal RNA
Rfam family: Bacterial small subunit ribosomal RNA
Source: RNAcentral